GGCUCAGGACGAACGCUGGCGGCGUGCCUAACACAUGCAAGUCGAGCGGAGUUGACAAGAGGAAGCUUUCGGAUGGAAUUUGUAAUUAGCGGCGGACGGGUGAGUAACGCGUGAGCGACCAACCUUGCACAGGGGGAUAACGGACCGAAAGGUUCACUAAUACCGCAUGAGACCACGGUGUUGCAUGACACAGGGGUCAAAGGAGUAAUCCGGUGCAAGACGGGCUCGCGUCCGAUUAGGUAGUUGGAGGGGUAACGGCCCACCAAGCCUAUGAUCGGUAGCCGACCUGAGAGGGUGAUCGGCCACAUUGGAACUGAGAUACGGUCCAAACUCCUACGGGAGGCAGCAGUGGGGAAUAUUGGGCAAAUGGGGGAAACCCUGACCCAGCAACGCCGCGUGAAGGAAGAAGGUUUUCGGAUUGUAAACUUCUGUCCUUGGUGAAGAGAAGAAGACGGUAGCCAAGGAGGAAGCCCCGGCUAACUACGUGCCAGCCGCUGC
Molecule: ribosomal RNA, 498 nt
Filed under: uncultured bacterium
Lineage: Bacteria
Description: bacterial SSU rRNA
Rfam family: Bacterial small subunit ribosomal RNA
Source: RNAcentral